CCAAUAGCGUAUAUUAAAGUUGUUGCAGUUAAAAAGCUCGUAGUUGAAUUUCCGGCCUGGCUGGACGGUCCGCCCUUCGGGUGAGUACUGUCUGUGGUCGGGUCCUACCUUCUGGCGAAGCGUCAUGGCCUUAACCGGCCGUGGCGGGGAACCAGGACUUUUACUGUGAAAAAAUUAGAGUGUUCAAAGCAGGCAAAUCGCUUGGAUACAUUAGCAUGGAAUAAUGGAAUAAGACAAUGGUUCUAUUUGUUGGUUUCUAGGACCGUUGUAAUGAUUAAUAGGGAUAGUUGGGGGCAUUAGUAUUCAAUUGUCAGAGGUGAAAUUCUUGGAUUUAUUGAAGACUAACUACUGCGAAAGCAUUUGCCAAGGAUGUUUUCAUUAAUCAAGAACGAAAGUUAGGGGAUCGAAGACGAUCAGAUACCGUCGUAGUCUUAACCAUAAACUAUGCCGACUAGGAAUCGGGCGACGUUAUUUUCAUGACUCGCUCGGCGCCUUAUG
Molecule: ribosomal RNA, 498 nt
Filed under: uncultured Glomeromycotina
Lineage: Eukaryota; Fungi; Glomeromycota
Description: partial small subunit ribosomal RNA
Rfam family: Eukaryotic small subunit ribosomal RNA
Source: RNAcentral